GGGGAGGUAGUGACAAUAAAUACUGAUGCAGGGCUCUUUAGGGUCUUGCAAUUGGAAUGAGUACAAUUUAAAUCCCUUAACGAGGAACAAUUGGAGGGCAAGUCUGGUGCCAGCAGCCGCGGUAACUCCAGCUCCAAUAGCGUAUAUUAAAGUUGUUGUGGUUAAAAAGCUCGUAGUUGAACCUUGGGCCUGGCCGUCCGGUCCGCCUCACCGCGUGCACUGGCACGGCCGGGCCUUCCCACCGCGGAAUCGCAUGCCCUUUACUGGGCGUGUCGGGGAAGCGGUACUUUUACUGUGAAAAAAUUAGAGUGCUCUAAGCAGGCCUAUGCUCGAAUACAUUAGCAUGGAAUAAUAGAAUAGGACAGGCGUUCUAUUUUGUUGGUUUCUAGGACGUCUGUAAUGAUUAACAGAAACAAUCGGGGGCGUCAGUAUUGCAUCGUCAGAGGUGAAAUUCUUAGAUCGACGCAAGACUAACUACUGCGAAAGCAUUCGCCAAGGGUGUUUUCAUUAAUCAGGAACGAAAGUUAGGGGAUCGAAGACGAUCAGAUACCGUCGUAGUCUUAACCAUAAACUAUGCCGACUAGGGAUCGGGCGGUGUUAAUUUUUGACCCGCUCGGCACCUUACGAGAAAUCUUAAGUGCUUGGGCUCCAGGGGGAGUAUGGUCGCAAGGCUGAAACUUAAAGAAAUUGACGGAAGGGCACCACCAGGGGUGGAACCUGCGGCUUAAUUUGACUCAACACGGGGAAACUCAUCAGGUUAGGAUAUUUUUAGGAUUGACAGAUUGAGAGCUCUUUCAUGAUUAAAUAGAUGGUGGUGCAUGGCCGUUCUUAGUUCGUGGUUAUGAACUGUCAGCUCAAUUGCGAUAACGAACGAGACCGCGACUGCUAAAUAGCCCGCGCCGCCCCGGCGGCGUGCCGGCUUCUUAGUGGGACUAUCGGCUCAAGCCGAUGGAGGUACGCGUCAAUAACAGGUCUGUGAUGCCCUUAGAUAUCCUGAGCCGCACGCGCGUUACACUGGCAGGGCCAGCGAGUUUUUUUCCUUGGCCGAGAGGCCCGGGUAAUCUUGUUAAACCCUGCCGUGCUGGGGACAGGGCAUUGUAAUUAUUGCCCUCGAACGAGGAAUCCCUAGUAAGCGCGAGUCAUCAGCUCGCGUUGAUUACGUCCCUGCCCUUUGUACACACCGCCCGUCGCUACUACCGAUUGGACGGCUUAGUGAGGCCUUCGGACUGGACGGCGGAGGCGGGCAACCGCCACCGCUGACCGGAAAGUUGUACGAACUUGGUCGUCUAGAGGAAGUAAAAGUCGUAACAAGGUCUCCG
Molecule: ribosomal RNA, 1319 nt
Filed under: uncultured soil eukaryote
Lineage: Eukaryota
Description: SSU rRNA
Rfam family: Eukaryotic small subunit ribosomal RNA
Source: RNAcentral